This 253-nucleotide ribosomal RNA is filed under the name uncultured bacterium. RNAcentral describes it as "partial 16S ribosomal RNA". It matches the Rfam family "Bacterial small subunit ribosomal RNA", at positions 524 to 776 of the family's 1533-position model. The record is from RNAcentral.
UACAGAGGUCUCAAGCGUUGUUCGGAUUCAUUGGGCGUAAAGGGUGCGUAGGCGGCGCGGUAAGUCGGGUGUGAAAUCUCGGGGCUUAACUCCGAAACUGCAUUCGAUACUGCCGUGCUUGAGGACUGGAGAGGAGACUGGAAUUUACGGUGUAGCGGUGAAAUGCGUAGAUAUUGGGAGGAACACCAGUGGCGAAAGCGACUUUCUGGGCCAUUCCUGACGCUGAGGUUCGAAAGCUCGGGGAGCAAACAGG